GGGCCCGUAGCUCAGCGGUUAGAGCAGCGGACUCAUAAUCCGUUGGUCCCUGGUUCGAAUCCAGGCGGGCCCUCCA
This 76-nucleotide transfer RNA is filed under the name Actinomycetes bacterium. Its description in RNAcentral is "Actinobacteria bacterium tRNA-Met". It matches the Rfam family "tRNA". From Rfam's summary of the family: Transfer RNA (tRNA) molecules are approximately 80 nucleotides in length. Their secondary structure includes four short double-helical elements and three loops (D, anti-codon, and T loops). Lineage: Bacteria; Bacillati; Actinomycetota; Actinomycetes. The record is from RNAcentral. RNAcentral also lists the same sequence under 1 other name.